UACGUAGGGGGCUAGCGUUGUCCGGAAUCAUUGGGCGUAAGAGCGUGUAGGCGGCCCGGUAAGUCCGCUGUGAAAGUCGGGGGCUCAACCCUCGAAUGCCGGUGGAUACUGUCGGGCUAGAGUGCGGAAGAGGCGAGUGGAAUUCCUGGUGUAGCGGUGAAAUGCGCAGAUAUCAGGAGGAACACCAAUUGCGAAGGCAGCUCGCUGGGACGUAACUGACGCUGAGACGCGAAAGCGUGGGGAGCAAACAGG
Molecule: ribosomal RNA, 252 nt
Filed under: uncultured bacterium
Lineage: Bacteria
Description: partial 16S ribosomal RNA
Rfam family: Bacterial small subunit ribosomal RNA
Source: RNAcentral